GAUGAAGAACGUAGCGAAAUGCGAUAAGUAGUGUGAAUUGCAGAAUUCAGUGAAUCAUCGAAUCUUUGAACGCACAUUGCGCCCCUUGGUAUUCCAUGGGGCAUGCCUGUUCGAGCGUCAUUUGUACCUUCAAGCUCUGCUUGGUGUUGGGUGUUUGUCUCGCCUCUGCGCGUAGACUCGCCUCAAAACAAUUGGCAGCCGGCGUAUUGAUUUCGGAGCGCAGUACAUCUCGCGCCUUGCACUCAUAACGACGACGUCCAAAAGUACAUUUUUACACUCUUGACCUCGGAUCAGGUAGGGAUACCCGCUGAACUUAAGCAUAUCAAUAAGCGGAGGA
This 337-nucleotide unclassified non-coding RNA is filed under the name soil metagenome. RNAcentral's name for it is "partial contains 5.8S ribosomal RNA, internal transcribed spacer 2, and large subunit ribosomal RNA". The stretch from base 1 to 120 matches the Rfam family "5.8S ribosomal RNA", at positions 35 to 154 of the family's 154-position model. The record is from RNAcentral.